AUUUUUAUAGUGUAAUAAACACUUUACUUUUUCAAAGUAAAACUAAAGUAUAAACUUUUAAAAAUA
This 66-nucleotide transfer RNA is filed under the name Kiwa tyleri. Its description in RNAcentral is "tRNA-Glu". Lineage: Eukaryota; Metazoa; Arthropoda; Malacostraca; Decapoda; Kiwaidae. The record is from RNAcentral.